RNAcentral lists this ribosomal RNA (483 nucleotides) under uncultured bacterium. RNAcentral describes it as "partial 16S ribosomal RNA". It matches the Rfam family "Bacterial small subunit ribosomal RNA", at positions 28 to 523 of the family's 1533-position model. The record is from RNAcentral.
GACGAACGCUGGCGGCGUGCUUAACACAUGCAAGUCGAACGAUGAUGCCGUGCUUGCACGGUUGAUUAGUGGCGAACGGGUGAGUAACACGUGAGUAACCUGCCCCUCACUUUGGGAUAACUCCGGGAAACCGGGGCUAAUACUGGAUAUGAGCCUUCCUCGCAUGGGGUCGGUUGGAAAGGGUUGCUGGUGGGGGGUGGGCUCGCGGCCUAUCAGCUUGUUGGUGGGGUGAUGGCCUACCAAGGCUUCGACGGGUAGCCGGCCUGAGAGGGCGACCGGCCACAUUGGGACUGAGAUACGGCCCAGACUCCUACGGGAGGCAGCAGUGGGGAAUAUUGCACAAUGGGCGAAAGCCUGAUGCAGCGACGCCGCGUGAGGGAUGGAGGCCUUCGGGUUGUAAACCUCUUUCGGCAGGGAAGAAGCGUUAAGUGACGGUACCUGCAGAAGAAGGGCCGGCUAACUACGUGCCAGCAGCCGCGGUAA